RNAcentral lists this transfer RNA (68 nucleotides) under Marmota monax (woodchuck). It matches the Rfam family "tRNA". From Rfam's summary of the family: Transfer RNA (tRNA) molecules are approximately 80 nucleotides in length. The record is from Rfam by way of RNAcentral. Lineage: Eukaryota; Metazoa; Chordata; Mammalia; Rodentia; Sciuridae.
GUGGUGGCUCAGUGGUAGAGCACUCACCUAGCACAUGCGAGGCCCUGGGUUCAAUCCUCAGCACUACA